GCAUUGGUGGUUCAGUGGUAGAAUUCUCACCUUCCAUGAGAAAGACCCAAGUUCAAUUUCUGGCCAAUGCA
This 71-nucleotide transfer RNA is filed under the name Loxodonta africana (African savanna elephant). It matches the Rfam family "tRNA". From Rfam's summary of the family: Transfer RNA (tRNA) molecules are approximately 80 nucleotides in length. Their secondary structure includes four short double-helical elements and three loops (D, anti-codon, and T loops). Further hydrogen bonds mediate the characteristic L-shaped molecular structure. tRNAs have two regions of fundamental functional importance: the anti-codon, which is responsible for specific mRNA codon recognition, and the 3' end, to which the tRNAs corresponding amino acid is attached (by aminoacyl-tRNA synthetases). tRNAs cope with the degeneracy of the genetic code in two manners: having more than one tRNA (with a specific anti-codon) for a particular amino acid; and 'wobble' base-pairing, i.e. permitting non-standard base-pairing at the 3rd anti-codon position. The record is from Rfam by way of RNAcentral. Lineage: Eukaryota; Metazoa; Chordata; Mammalia; Proboscidea; Elephantidae.